Molecule: ribosomal RNA, 921 nt
Filed under: Clarkus sp. PDL-2005
Lineage: Eukaryota; Metazoa; Nematoda; Enoplea; Mononchida; Mononchidae
Description: SSU rRNA
Rfam family: Eukaryotic small subunit ribosomal RNA
Source: RNAcentral
AAAGAUUAAGCCAUGCAUGUGUAAGCACAUGCCUUAAAACGGUAAAGCCGCGAAUGGCUCGGUAUAACAGCCACUGUUUAUUAAACUCUAGUUAUCUACUUGGAUAACUGUGGCAAUUCUAGAGCUAAUACAUGCACGCAGGCUCGGACCUUUUGGGAAGAGCGCAUUUAUUAGACCAAAACCAAUCGGGCUUCGGCCUGUGUUUUGGUGACUCUGAAUAACUAAGUCGAUCGCACAGUCUUAGUACUGGCGACGUAUUUUUCAAAUGUCUGCCUUAUCAACUUUCGAUGGUAGGUUAUACGCCUACCAUGGUUAUAACGGGUAACGGAGAAUUAGGGUUCGACUCCGGAGAGGGAGCCUGAGAAAUGGCUACCACAUCCAAGGAAGGCAGCAGGCGCGCAAAUUACCCAAUCCCAGAACGGGGAGGUAGUGACGAAAAAUAACGAGGUAAUCCACUUUGUGGCUUACCAUCGGAAUGGGCACAAUAUAAAUCUUUUAACGAGGAUCUAUUAGAGGGCAAGUCUGGUGCCAGCAGCCGCGGUAAUUCCAGCUCUAAUAGUGUAUAUUAAAAUUGUUGUGGUUAAAACGCCCGUAGUUGGAUCUUCGGUCUUGAAGCUCGGUAGCCCGUAAGGGUUUAACUGAGUCUUCUGGCCUCGAUUCUAGUUUUCUCCUGAUGCUCUUUAUUGAGUGUCUUGAGUAGCUAGGAAUUUUACUUUGAAAAAAUUAGAGUGCUAAAAGCAGGCUAUACGCUUGAAUAAAGUGCAUGGAAUAAUGGAAUACGACUUUAGUCUUAUUUUGUUGGUUUUCGAGAUUAAAGUAAUGAUUAAGAGGAACAGCCGGGGGCAUUUGUAUUGUUGCGUUAGAGGUGAAAUUCUUGGAUCGCAGCAAGACAAACAACUGCGAAAGCAUUUGCCAAGAAUG